UUGAACAUGAUGUGAUUACUUAUCAACCGUGUUUCAGCUGAAUUCUCCAUUGAUUACAAAUUGAUAACCUGAUUAU
Molecule: small nucleolar RNA, 76 nt
Filed under: Drosophila virilis
Lineage: Eukaryota; Metazoa; Arthropoda; Insecta; Diptera; Drosophilidae
Description: snoRNA:GJ25387
Source: RNAcentral